Molecule: ribosomal RNA, 357 nt
Filed under: uncultured bacterium
Lineage: Bacteria
Description: partial 16S ribosomal RNA
Rfam family: Bacterial small subunit ribosomal RNA
Source: RNAcentral
CCUACGGUGUGCAGCAGUGAGGACUAUUGGUCAAUGGGCGAGAGCCUGAACCAGCCAAGUCGCGUGAGGGAGUACUGCCCUAUGGGUUGUAAACCUCUUUUGUCGGGGAGCAAAAGCCGGACGUGUCCGGCUGUGAGAGUCCCCGCAGAACAAGCAUCGGCUAACUCCGUGCCAUCAGCCGCGGUAAUACGGAGGAUGCGCGCGUUAUCCUGAUUUAUUGGGUGUAACGGGUGAGUAGUCGGAAUAUCAAGUCAGCUGUAAAAAUUCGGGGUUCAACCCCGUCGUGCCGUUGAAACUGAUGUUCUUGAGUGGGCGAGAAGUAUGCGGAAUGCGGGGUGUAGCGGUGAAAUGCAUAGA